This 454-nucleotide ribosomal RNA is filed under the name Streptomyces aurantiacus. RNAcentral's name for it is "bacterial SSU rRNA". It matches the Rfam family "Bacterial small subunit ribosomal RNA", at positions 53 to 524 of the family's 1533-position model. The record is from RNAcentral. Lineage: Bacteria; Bacillati; Actinomycetota; Actinomycetes; Kitasatosporales; Streptomycetaceae.
CCCUUCAAGUCGAACGAUGAACCACUUCGGUGGGGAUUAGUGGCGAACGGGUGAGUAACACGUGGGCAAUAUGCCNUUCACUCUGGGACAAGCCCUGGAAACGGGGUCUAAUACCGGAUAACACUCCUUCUCGCAUGGGAAGGGGUUGAAAGCUCCGGCGGUGAAGGAUGAGCCCGCGGCCUAUCAGCUUGUUGGUGAGGUAGUGGCUCACCAAGGCGACGACGGGUAGCCGGCCUGAGAGGGCGACCGGCCACACUGGGACUGAGACACGGCCCAGACUCCUACGGGAGGCAGCAGUGGGGAAUAUUGCACAAUGGGCGAAAGCCUGAUGCAGCGACGCCGCGUGAGGGAUGACGGCCUUCGGGUNGUAAACCUCUUUCAGCAGGGAAGAAGCGAAAGUGACGGUACCUGCAGAAGAAGCGCCGGCUAACUACGUGCCAGCAGCCGCGGAUAC